Molecule: non-coding RNA, 777 nt
Filed under: Perkinsus marinus ATCC 50983
Lineage: Eukaryota; Perkinsozoa; Perkinsida; Perkinsidae
Description: Eukaryotic small subunit ribosomal RNA
Rfam family: Eukaryotic small subunit ribosomal RNA
Source: Rfam by way of RNAcentral
CACCUGGUUGAUCCUGCCAGUAGUCAUAUGCUUGUCUCAAAGAUUAAGCCAUGCAUGUCUAAGUAUAAGCUUUAAACGGCGAAACUGCGAAUGGCUCAUUAAAACAGUUAUAGUUUAUUUGGUGAUCGAUUACUAUUUGGAUAACCGUAGUAAUUCUAGAGCUAAUACAUGCGUCAAGGCCCGACUUCGGAAGGGCUGCGUUUAUUAGAUACAGAACCAACCUAGGCUCCGCCUAGUCCUUGUUGGUGAUUCAUAAUAACCCGGCGAAUCGCACGGCUUGUCCGGCGAUGGACCAUUCAAGUUUCUGACCUAUCAGCUAUGGACGGUAGGGUAUUGGCCUACCGUGGCGUUGACGGGUAACGGGGAAUUAGGGUUCGAUUCCGGAGAGGGAGCCUGAGAAACGGCUACCACAUCUAAGGAAGGCAGCAGGCGCGCAAAUUACCCAAUCCUGAUACAGGGAGGUAGUGACAAGAAAUAACAAUACAGGGCAAUUCUGUCUUGUAAUUGGAAUGAGUAGAUUUUAAAUCUCUUUACGAGUAUCAAUUGGAGGGCAAGUCUGGUGCCAGCAGCCGCGGUAAUUCCAGCUCCAAUAGCGUAUAUUAAAGUUGUUGCGGUUAAAAAGCUCGUAGUUGGAUUUCUGCCUUGGGCGACCGAUCCACCUUUCCUACGGGAUUGGUUGGUAUCAGUUUGACCUUGGCUUUUCUUGGGAUCGUGCUCACGUACUUACUGUGCGUGACGUGUUCAGACUUUACUUUGAGAAAAUUAGAGUGUUUCAGC